This 904-nucleotide non-coding RNA is filed under the name Pseudoeurycea obesa (ridge-tailed salamander). Lineage: Eukaryota; Metazoa; Chordata; Amphibia; Caudata; Plethodontidae. The record is from RNAcentral.
ACAGGUUUGGUCCUGACCUUAAAAUUAACUACAACUAUAAUUAUACAUGCAAGCCUCGACACCCCGGUGAAUAAUACCCCUUACUUCCAACACUAGAAGUAAUGGAGUUGGUAUCAGGCACACAGCCCAAAACACCUUGUUAAGCCACACCUACACAGGACUCAGCAGUAAUAAACAUUGAACAAUAAGUGAAAACUUGAUUCAGUAAUAGUCAUCAAAGUCGGUAAAUCUCGUGCCAGCCACCGCGGUUAUACGAGAGACUUAAGUUAAUAUACGCGGCCCAAAGAACAGUUAAAGAAACACACUUAGGACUGAAAGACUUUAAAGCAGUUAUACGCAAAAAAAAUCUAAAAACCCACAUACACCUAUCUCACUUGAAUCUGUUAAAGCCUGGAAACACACUGGGAUUAGAUACCCCACUAUGCCAGACCAUAAACUUUGAACCCUCCGCCCGAGCACUACGAGCUACAGCUUAAAACUCAAAGGACUUGGCGGUGCCCUAUACCCACCUAGAGGAGCCUGUUCUACAAUUGAUAAUCCCCAAUAAACCUCGCCGCCUCUCGCAAAUACAGCCUAUAUACCACCGUCAUAAGCCCACCCCACAAAGGAAUAAUAGUAGGCCAAACAAUUUAAAAUAAAAAAGUCAGGUCAAGGUGUAGCAUAUGAGUCGGAAAGAAAUGGGCUACAUUUUCUAUAAAGAAAAUCACGGAAUAUUUUGUGAAAUAUAAUAUAAAGGAGGAUUUAGCAGUAAAAAAAGAAUAGAGAGCUCUUUUUAACUUGGCAAUAGGACGAGCACACACCGCCCGUCACCCUCUUUAUAAAUAUAAAAAAAUAAAUAAUAAAUCCUUGAUACUAGAAGAGGAAAGUCGUAACAUGGUAAGUCUACCGGAAGGUGGCCUUGGAA